AAUUAUGGCCAUGCCGCCAUGAGUGUGUCCAAUCUCAUCUGAUCUCGGAAGCUAAGCCUGGUUAGUACUUGGAUGGGAGACCACUUAGGAAUACCGGGUGCUGUAGGUG
This 109-nucleotide ribosomal RNA is filed under the name Pteropus alecto (black flying fox). The record is from RNAcentral. Lineage: Eukaryota; Metazoa; Chordata; Mammalia; Chiroptera; Pteropodidae.